GUCCCCGUAGUUUAGCAUGGAUAUGACGCAAGCUUGCGGAGCUUGAAACCCGAGUUCAAAUCUCGGCGGGGACA
RNAcentral lists this transfer RNA (74 nucleotides) under archaeon. RNAcentral describes it as "tRNA-Arg". It matches the Rfam family "tRNA". Rfam says of the family: Transfer RNA (tRNA) molecules are approximately 80 nucleotides in length. Their secondary structure includes four short double-helical elements and three loops (D, anti-codon, and T loops). Further hydrogen bonds mediate the characteristic L-shaped molecular structure. tRNAs have two regions of fundamental functional importance: the anti-codon, which is responsible for specific mRNA codon recognition, and the 3' end, to which the tRNAs corresponding amino acid is attached (by aminoacyl-tRNA synthetases). tRNAs cope with the degeneracy of the genetic code in two manners: having more than one tRNA (with a specific anti-codon) for a particular amino acid; and 'wobble' base-pairing, i.e. permitting non-standard base-pairing at the 3rd anti-codon position. The record is from RNAcentral.